Molecule: long non-coding RNA, 817 nt
Filed under: Triticum aestivum (bread wheat)
Lineage: Eukaryota; Viridiplantae; Streptophyta; Magnoliopsida; Poales; Poaceae
Description: long non-coding RNA (TAES_LNC003795)
Source: RNAcentral
GAGUUCUUCUUACAAGCAACACAACGGCUUCGAAAGAAAUGAUGCAAAUAAUGUACUCAACUACAAGUAUCUAUUGAACAAAUACAACAUGGUGGUGAAGUGCAUUGAGGAGGGGGGGCAUAUGCCCCCUGUCCAUGUUUUUUUUUGUUUGGAAAAUCCAUUUUUUUGCAAUUUAUUUAAGUUGUAGAUAUAUUGGGCCCUUAUUUAAGAUGGGCCCUAGGCCGCCGCAUCUUUUGCCAUGGCUCCCCCCGAGAAUUUCUCCCAAUAGCAUCUGCAUCGCUCCGUGAAGACAGUCCCGAAUGCAGCGAGGAUGAGCCCGCCUUUGUUAGGGUGCACCGCCGCAAGGAGGGUCAGCGUUACCGCCGCGCCAGCCGUAAGGCUGCGCAUGGCGGCUGAAACCAGGCUGCGGCGCCGCUGCAGGAGCCGCCGCUACUCGUUAAGUGAUGCAUCUCCUCCAGCUUCCAUCACGGCUUCUCCUCUCUCUUCAGAUCUUCAGCUGCAAAACCCAAGCAACAAACACAAAGUGCAGAUCAGAACAACUCAACCCAAGAAACCAAGAAGAACUGCAUAUCUGAAGCUGCAAAGACCACACAACAGCACAAGCUCCACCCAAGCAACAAACUGCGCCCCAAGAGAAGCAGAAGGUGUCUCACCUCACCUGGCGAGAAAGGGAGGGACAAGGCGAGAGAGAGUGAAGUGUAGGGAGGGAUGAGGCGAGAGAGAGUGAGUGCAGGGAGGGACGAGGUGCGAGAGAGUGAAGCGCACAGAGGGAGGGAGGGAGCAGAAGAGAGCUACUAGCAGGGUAUAAAUGGGACUG